Molecule: ribosomal RNA, 468 nt
Filed under: uncultured bacterium
Lineage: Bacteria
Description: partial 16S ribosomal RNA
Rfam family: Bacterial small subunit ribosomal RNA
Source: RNAcentral
GACGAACGCUGGCGGCGUGCUUAACACAUGCAAGUCGAACGGAAAGGCCCUGCUUUUGUGGGGUGCUCGAGUGGCGAACGGGUGAGUAACACGUGAGUAACCUGCCCUUGACUUUGGGAUAACUUCAGGAAACUGGGGCUAAUACCGGAUAGGAGCUCCUGCUGCGCGGUGUGGGUUGGAAAGUUUCGGCGGUUGGGGAUGGGCUCGCGGCUUAUCAGCUUGUUGGUGGGGUAGUGGCUUACCAAGGCUUUGACGGGUAGCCGGCCUGAGAGGGUGACCGGCCACAUUGGGACUGAGAUACGGCCCAGACUCCUACGGGAGGCAGCAGUGGGGAAUAUUGCACAAUGGGCGGAAGCCUGAUGCAGCAACGCCGCGUGCGGGAUGACGGCCUUCGGGUUGUAAACCGCUUUCGCCUGUGACGAAGCGUGAGUGACGGUAAUGGGUAAAGAAGCACCGGCUAACUACGUG